CCAGUUUUCCAUUAGCACACAAAUCAUACACAUCAACAACCUCAAAUGGCAUAAUUGCACUAGUUCUAGAGUUCUAGGCCUCCCAAAGUUUCCUAUAGGCUCUAUCUGUUGGGUUACUUGACAAUUUGAGAUGAAUGAUGGCAUAGGAUUAGGCAACAAGUUAGACUGACACUUUGCCCCCAAAACAAUUGAUUAAGUUUUUGAGGAAUGAGUUCAGAUUGCAUAUUAUGCAAGUAUGUCUCUGCAAUUGUGGGUGUAGGUGUGUGACUGUAUGUGCAGGGCUUCAUGGCCUGUGGUCUUGAUCAAUUAUGGGUGUGGGUGUGUGACUGUAUGUGCAGGGGUUAAUGGCCUGCGGUCUUGAUCAAUUGUGGGUGUGGGUGUGUGACUGUAUGUACAGGGGUUGAUGGCAUGUGGGCUUGAUGGCUUGUAGUAUUUCCAAGUUCUCUAUUCUGAUUUUUUUCUAUACUACUAAUUUUCUAGAGAAAAAUCGAACUAAAUUAAUGUGAAGUAAAUUUCAUAUAAUUCAGAUGAAAUGCCACUAGGAGCUAUGACUAUCUGUUUGUAGACAGGAAGCAAAUGUAGAUCUCCCAUUAAAUGUUUUAAUAUUAUUUGUAUAUCUAACCAUGGUGAUUGAAUCCAUAUAUUACUAAUUUGGAAACCAACGUCAUUGUUUUUGUUCAUGGAGGUAGGUUUGGUGCUUGGUGCUGGUACAGUACCAUGUCACAACUUGAAGAUAGCAAAGUCAAUGCAAUGGUGUUGAUGUACCGAUCAUCAGUCAAGAAUUUUUAGUAGAAGCAGCUUCCAUGAUGGUGGAGACAAGGUGAUUUCAUCCUUGUAUAAAAUGACAUCUACUCUCUGAAGUAUAUAAUUUAGUUAUGAGAAGUUGGGAAAUGCUAAAGACAUACUCCACUUUCAUGUAUUCGCUUGAAGAUUUGAAAUUUGUGGUUUAAAUAAGAUGCCAGCGAUGUUUAUGAUGGUCACCAGUUGCUUAGUUUACUACCAAGUAACUAUCGAUGUUAUAGAUAGUUCCAUAGCCUUAUACAUAACUGAUUUCUCUGGUAGAGGGGCGACUUUUUUCCAUUAGCCGCUGAUGAAUCAUGAAACCAUCAUCUUGUAGUAUUUCUCAUAUAUUACUGUAGAAAGAAUAUAAGAGCCAAUUUCUGAAGGAACUUCUGGGUUGCUAUUUUAUUCUUCUUGAUGGUACUCUUUUAGGUCAUUUGAGUUAUUUUGCCUUUUCUAGUUUUGGGUGGCAGUGGUAAUCUAAAAUCAAGUGUUGCCCCAAGUGGACGGCAGUGCCAUGUUUGCUGGUCCGCAGCUCAAACCCAUUGGCGUUAUCUCUGCAAGGGAAGGGCGGAGGAGUGAAUAUGUAAAGUGUUAACCUCUCCGUGGGUGAAGCUGAAGCAAGGUUUAACAUGCUCUGUGAUUCAUUGUUCUGGUACCUACGCAGCCUGGCUCCGGCGAGGACGUCGCAUCACCGCCGGAACCAAGCUCGCCUACGCACAAGCACACAAAGGAGUACAAUCUCAUUUUGCAUGUGAAUGAGGUCAUCGACCGCGGCCCUUUGAUGAUGGAGGGUCCCGAUUUCUACCCUGACGAUGGCGAAGACCUGAGCCACAGGCACAAAUUUAAGACCUGGUGGUCUUUAUGGCGAGACAUGAUUGGAAUUUGCCAUAAUCCUUUUCUUCUGUGUUUACUUCAGUUUUUAAUGUUUCGGACUAGCUGUUUUUUUUAUCAAGUUUGGUACUACUAGUGUUUACCUCGGUUCAGUUUAUCAUUCUGUUAGUUAUCUA
Long non-coding RNA from Lolium rigidum, 1790 nucleotides. RefSeq lists it as uncharacterized. Lineage: Eukaryota; Viridiplantae; Streptophyta; Magnoliopsida; Poales; Poaceae. The transcript is spliced from 2 exons. The record is from RefSeq and is a predicted model, not a curated record.